GAUGAACGCUGGCGGCGUGCCUAAUACAUGCAAGUCGAGCGAACAGACGAGGGGCUUGCUCCUCUGACGUUAGCGGCGGACGGGUGAGUAACACGUGGAUAACCUACCUAUAAGACUGGGAUAACUUCGGGAAACCGGAGCUAAUACCGGAUAAUAUAUUGAACCGCAUGGUUCAAUAGUGAAAGACGGUUUUGCUGUCACUUAUAGAUGGAUCCGCGCCGCAUUAGCUAGUUGGUAAGGUAACGGCUUACCAAGGCAACGAUGCGUAGCCGACCUGAGAGGGUGAUCGGCCACACUGGAACUGAGACACGGUCCAGACUCCUACGGGAGGCAGCAGUAGGGAAUCUUCCGCAAUGGGCGAAAGCCUGACGGAGCAACGCCGUGUGAGUGAUGAAGGUCUUCGGAUCGUAAAACUCUGUUAUUAGGGAAGAACAAAUGUGUAAGUAACUAUGCACGUCUUGACGGUACCUAAUCAGAAAGCCACGGCUAACUACGUG
Molecule: ribosomal RNA, 497 nt
Filed under: uncultured bacterium
Lineage: Bacteria
Description: partial 16S ribosomal RNA
Rfam family: Bacterial small subunit ribosomal RNA
Source: RNAcentral